Molecule: ribosomal RNA, 373 nt
Filed under: uncultured bacterium
Lineage: Bacteria
Description: bacterial SSU rRNA
Rfam family: Bacterial small subunit ribosomal RNA
Source: RNAcentral
AAUCAACGCUGGCGGCGUGCCUCAGACAUGCAAGUCGAACGCGAAAUCCCGAGCAAUCGGGAGAGUAGAGUGGCGCACGGGUGAGUAACACGUAGGUAAUCUACCUUCGGAUGGGGAAUAACAACCGGAAACGGUUGCUAAUACCGCAUAAUGCAGCGGCACCUAAUGGUGACAGUUGUUAAAGCGGGGGAUCGAAAGACCUCGCGUCUGAAGAGGAGCCUGCGGCGGAUUAGCUAGUUGGUAAGGUAAUGGCUUACCAAGGCAACGAUCCGUAACCGGCCUGAGAGGGCGGUCGGUCACACUGACACUGACAUACGGGUCAGACUCCUACGGGAGGCAGCAGUCGGGAAUUUUGGGCAAUGGGCGAAAGCCU